Molecule: long non-coding RNA, 210 nt
Filed under: Elaeis guineensis (African oil palm)
Lineage: Eukaryota; Viridiplantae; Streptophyta; Magnoliopsida; Arecales; Arecaceae
Description: long non-coding RNA (EGUI_LNC038955)
Source: RNAcentral
AUUCAAAAAUAUUUCAAACGGUAUUAAGCAGGUCAGCCCUAAUAAUAGACCAAAAGAAUUUGAAGAACAUAGGAGAAAAUCCAUGUAGCCUAGGAGAUUUAUCAAAGUUCAAACUAAACACCACAUCAUAGAGCUCUUUCACUAAAACUAGUGAGAUCAUAUGCAUGUUAUCAACUUUCAAAAUCUAAGGAGUAUGAGGAAUGUGAGGAU